CGGAGGGUGCAAGCGUUGUCCGGAUUUAUUGGGUUUAAAGGGUGCGUAGGCGGUUUUUUAAGUCAGUGGUGAAAUCCUGCAGCUCAACUGUAUGAACUGCCAUUGAUACUGAAAAACUUGAGUACAGACGAGGUAGGCGGAAUUUAUGGUGUAGCGGUGAAAUGCAUAGAUACCAUAAAGAACACCGAUUGCGAAGGCAGCUUACUAGGCUGUAACUGACGCUGAGGCACGAAAGUGUGUGGAUCAAACAGGAUUAGAUACCCUGGUAGUCCACACUGUAAACGAUGAUUACUCGAUGUUAGCGAUAAACCGUUAGCGUCCAAGCGAAAGCGUUAAGUAAUCCACCUGGGGAGUACGAUCGCAAGAUUG
RNAcentral lists this ribosomal RNA (369 nucleotides) under uncultured organism. Its description in RNAcentral is "bacterial SSU rRNA". It matches the Rfam family "Bacterial small subunit ribosomal RNA", at positions 526 to 896 of the family's 1533-position model. The record is from RNAcentral.